This is a long non-coding RNA of Oxyura jamaicensis (ruddy duck), 167 nucleotides long. RefSeq lists it as uncharacterized. Lineage: Eukaryota; Metazoa; Chordata; Aves; Anseriformes; Anatidae. The record is from RefSeq and is a predicted model, not a curated record. The transcript is spliced from 3 exons.
AUUCUCUUUUAUUCUAAUCCAUAUCAAAUUAGAGGGUAUUACUACUCAGUUAUCUUUUAAAUAUACCCAUCCAUCUGGUUUCAUUUUACCUUUCAAAUCUUCAAUUAAUUUUAAGUCUUCUUUUGUAUAAUUUGGCUUUUGGUUUAUGUAUAUAGUUUGAACUUUAC